AUGAUCUUUAAUUGUAUCUCUAUUAUGCAUUCAUAUAGGGGACUUUUAGAGAAUGAUUUGGGUUGUCGUAUGCAUUCAUCCAAUUCAAUGAGUAAAGGAAAAUCUGAGGGUUAAUUUGUGCAUCACGGUUAAUCUGGGGUGUUAAGCAUCAUAGUUUAUUGAAAAGCAAUUGGAGAUUGAUUUGUAUGCAAGUGUGUCAUGUGUGGAGAAAGACCUUCUAGCUAGCCCAUCAUCCAUCCAAAACAACCAAUUUCGUGCAAAUCUGUUUAGUUCUAGUUUCUGUUUUGUUUUACUUUAUUUUUGUCCAAAACCCAAUCCCCCUUUACUUUAGUGUGUCUAAUUAGUUAGAAUCUAUUUUAGUUUGUGUUUUUAAGUGUUUUGAGUCUAUAGAGUCUAGUUAAGUGUUUUUAAGUUUCUUGUAAGUCAGUUUAGUUUAGAUUAGCAAUCCCUCCUAAUCCCCGGUCAAGAACGAUCCCUACUUAUACAUAUACUACAAUUGUCAAAAGAGGGUUUAAUUUGAGUACUUAACUUUCAUCGCAUCAGUAAGGACAAUUAAAUGGUUUAAUUGUUUAUGGCAAGAAUUAUUAAUCAAACGAAUAAGUUCGUUUUAAACCUUGAGUUAGUUUUGGGCCUUAAAGCCCAAAUUGGGCUUCGAAUCGUCAAGCCCAUUAGCUUAAGUUGUAUGAAAACUUAACAAAAUAAAUUCAAGAAGCCUAAAACAGCCCAAAGGCUUGGGAAAACCGGCCAUAUAGAGAGGGGUAGUGAACUUGGCUUUAUUGCAAGUUUGCCACUCCAUUGUGAGGUGGUAUAAAGGCAACUUUAUAGCCAUUUCAUCCUUAGGGUUUCUUUUGGAGAAAAUUGGAGAGAACAUGUCUCUCCCUUUCUCUCUAGGAGGCCGGCCCCUUGGAGGAGAUUAGCCAGCAAUCUUUCCUCCUCCAAGGUCACUCAUCUCUUCUUCAUGGCCCUCCUUGGUGUGGAAAAUUAGAGGUUCUCAACUUUGGGAACUUGGAGAAUCCUUUCAACCAUCCUCAUCCAAGAAAUCCAUGGAUCUAAGAAGCAAGGAAUGAAGGCCCUCUCCUUCGGUGAUUAGCCUUUGCUUAUGCAAAGGGGAAUCAACAAAGGUAUAAGAUUUCUCAACUCACUUUGUUCUUGAGUUGAGUCUUGGUUCACCUUUCUAUUAGGCUUUGAAUUUCAUGGGUAAUGUUUUGUUUUGAGUGCAUACAAGCAUGAUUCUGCCUUUAAUUGUUAAUUGCAUGCCAUAGAUGUUGCUCAAAUGAACAUGUUUUUCACAAAAUUUCCUUCAAGUGGUAUCAAGAGCCUAGGUCUAGUAGUUGGUGAAUCCUUUUGGGUUUUGUAUUUUCAUAGUUUUUUAUUUGAAUGUUGUAAUUGUUACAAGCUUUAUUCUUGCUUCUUUGAAUGUAAAUUUUGUUAGAAAAUUUGCCUUCUCAAAUGUUGUAGAUGUAGUUAAUAUGAGCAUGAAUUUUAUAGCUAAAAUUGGUGCCAUGUUUUUGGGGAAAUUCGGUCAAAUCCAAAGGGUGGAUUUUUGGGUUCAUGUUUGUCUUGUUAAAAGUGUUUUAAAGUGACAUUAGGAACCCUUAAGUACCCUAGUAUGGUAAUAUGUUUUUUCCCUUAAGUUUGAGAAUUUUUGGGGUGUCUUUGGAUGAAAAAUGUUCAUGGAGCUCUUAUGGGUUUUCAUGGAUGUUCUUCAUUGUUCUUGUUAUGUUCUAACCAAGAACAAAAAGGUUUGGUGUUUUGAUUCAUAGUGUUUGAUGUUUUUCAUAAAGUUUUGUUUAUAGUGGUUGGUGUGACUUUAUUGUAAUAAAUGGUAUGACAUGAUUUGUCCUUUUUCAAUCAACACCAUACCAAUCACUUACACAUUUUCAUUGUUUCAAGGAACCAUAUUUUAUGGAAAUCACUUUUUCAAACCUGCACAUCACCUUUCACUUUUGUUGAAAAAUUCAAAAGUUUUAUGACACCAUCUCUCAUCCAAAAUAGGCCACCCUAUUAAAUAGGGUACUUUUGGGGCUUUUAUGCAAUUACAUAAAGUUUUGAUACUUUUGUGUAUUUG
RNAcentral lists this long non-coding RNA (2068 nucleotides) under Malus domestica (apple). Its description in RNAcentral is "long non-coding RNA (MDOM_LNC006856)". The record is from RNAcentral. Lineage: Eukaryota; Viridiplantae; Streptophyta; Magnoliopsida; Rosales; Rosaceae.